UGAGUACGAGAUGCUACGGCAUCGAAGCAGUCUAUGUCAUACUUCCAAGAAAAGCUUGCACUGUCAUAAACAAAGAAUGCCUGUACCAUAACCGACACAGGUGGGUAGGUAGAGUAUACUAAGGGGCGCGAGAUAACUCUCUCUAAGGAACUCGGCAAAAUGACUCCGUAACUUCGGGAGUAGGAGUGCCUUAUUUCUAAGGUUGCAAUAACAAGAUCCAAGCAACUGUUUACCAAAAACACAGGUCUCCGCUAAGUCGUAAGACGAUGUAUGGGGGCUGACGCCUGCCCAGUGCCAGAAGGUUAAAGAAGUUGGUUAGCAUUAGCGAAGCUGAUAACUGAAGCCCUGGUGAACGGCGGCCGUAACUAUAACGGUCCUAAGGUAGCGAAAUUCCUUGUCGGGUAAGUUCCGACCCGCACGAAAGGCGUAAUGAUUUGGAUACUGUCUCGGAGAGGGGCUCGGUGAAAUAGACUUGUCUGUGAAGAUGCGGACUACCUGCACCUGGACAGAAAGACCCUAUGAAGCUUUACUGUAACUUGAGAUUGAAAUUGGACUUUAUUUGCGCAGUAUAGGUGGGAGGCGUUGAGAAUAAUCUUGCGGGAUUGUUGGAGCCAUCAGUGAGAUACCACUCUUGUAAUGUUAGAUUUCUAACUUUGUAUCAUUAUCUGGUCAAAGAACAGUUUCAGGCGGGCAGUUUGACUGGGGCGGUCGCCUCCCAAAGGGUAACGGAGGCGCACAAAGGUUUCCUCUGAACGGGUAGAAAUCGUAUCUAGAGUGUAAAGGCAUAAGGAAGCUUGACUGUGAGACCUACAAGUCGAGCAGGGACGAAAGUCGGUCUUAGUGAUCUGACGGUGCUGAGUGGAAAGGCCGUCACUCAACGGAUAAAAGUUACUCUAGGAUAACAGGCUGAUCUCCCCCAAGAGUUCACAUCGACGGGGAGGUUUGGCACCUCGAUGUCGGCUCAUCGCAUCCUGGGGCGGUAGUCCGUCCCAAGGGUUGGGCUGUUCGCCCAUGAAAGCGGUACGCGAGCUGGGUUCAGAACGUCGUGAGACAGUUCGGUCCAUAUCCGGUGUAGGCGUUAGAAUAUUGAGAGGAGCCUUCUCUAGUACGAGAGGACCGAGAAGGACAUACCUCUGGUGUACCAGUUAUCGUGCCAACGGUAAACGCUGGGUAGCUAUGUAUGGAGUGGAUAACCGCUGAAAGCAUCUAAGUGGGAAGCCCACCACAAGAUAAGUAUUCUC
RNAcentral lists this ribosomal RNA (1241 nucleotides) under metagenome. Its description in RNAcentral is "bacterial LSU rRNA". It matches the Rfam family "Bacterial large subunit ribosomal RNA", at positions 1564 to 2815 of the family's 2925-position model. The record is from RNAcentral.